Long non-coding RNA from Ornithodoros turicata, 343 nucleotides. RefSeq lists it as uncharacterized. The transcript is spliced from 5 exons. NCBI's taxonomy places the organism in Eukaryota, Metazoa, Arthropoda, Arachnida, Ixodida, Argasidae. The record is from RefSeq and is a predicted model, not a curated record.
CCGCGUCAGUCGGCGCCUUUUUGGAAACCGUAUGCUGUGGGGCACAAACGCAACUUUGCAUUUACUGCAACCAUGAAGCCGAUUCAACGAUGCCUCAAGAUAUCACAGUAGCGUCUCCAAAUAGCGUCCGGAUGUUCUCAGUUGCCGGAAGGAAGGCAAACGGAGCUGAGUGGUUGGAUGACAAUCCACGGGAUGGCGCUGCGAUCUGGAGCGGAGCGGAAGUGAAGAUGGGAGGACUCCUGGAAGAAGUCGGAUUCGGCGCAAAGGAACAGCAAUAGUUUCGAUCUCUUCCAGGCCUAUCUGGAGGGAGAAAGCUACAAAGAAGAAGAACAAAAGAAAAACG